AAUAGCCGUAAGGGACCACAUUUAGCAAGUGGUCACAUGAUGUCUCCCGCAGAAAAUCUUGUGUAAAGUACUGAGGUAGCCAUUUUUCCAAUCGCUUCUUAUGAGAAACCAAUUGUCUCGACGGAUAUAUUAUCGAAUAGAUAUGUUAAAAACACCUUGAGGAUUGAUUCUAAACAACGUUUGCCAUGUUUCUGUCGAUAUUAUGGAGCUAAUUUGGAAAAAAGUUUGGUGUUGUAGUGACUGCAUUUUCCGGUCGAUUUCUCAGCCAAAUGUGACGCACAAACGGGAGCUAUUUCGCCUACAAAAAGAAUCUUUUGGGAAAAAAGGAACAUUUGUUAUCUAACUGGGAGUCUCCUGAGUGAAAACAUCCGAAGUUCAUCAAAGAUCAACGUUGCUUUGAAGAGUCAUCUAAAGCUGAGUGGGUUCUCUCUCUGAUACCGUCAUCGGCAAGUUGGAUCACUGGAUCUGACCACACAGACCCUGAUCAGCAGGAUGGUGUCUGAUCGUGUGAAGGACCAUCCAUACAACUGGGAUGUCUGCCUCCCUGCAAAGGUGUUCGGCCUGUGUUUCAAGGAGCACCCCAAGACCAAGCAGAGACCUUUCUCUCUGCUGUGCUGCAAAGGACCUCAGCCGGUCACCACCCCUAGGGAUCUGUCUUUCAGUCCUGCAGAGCUCAGAGAGAGUUCCUUUGCAAUCCAGUCAAAUCAAGAGGGUGGUCAUGACACUGAUCCGCAAGGCAUGGUUGGCACUGAAUCUGGGAAGGAAACGGCUGGAAAGAGCACAGUUACAAGGGUCUCCUUUUUUAGGAGCAAAACAGAGUAACACGGACGGUAACACCAUCAGUGACACAGACGGUAACCCCAACAGUGAACCAUCCUCUGAAGAUCAUCAUGGAUCAUGGAAACCUGAAUCAUUUAUUGGAUCAGUGCUCUAUCAGUCAUGCUGCCAUGUUUUUGGGGAGUAGGUUAUUUUGGUUUUCUAAGGUGUGAUCAUUUUGUUGAAAAACACUUUGGUUCAAUGUUUGGCUGGUGUACUGUUUCAAGAUUAUUAGCAGAGACAUCAGUGGGUCAGGAAUUGAUGUACCACCUGCAUCAAUUCAAUCAGCCAAAACAUCAUACAUAGAUUGAUUAAUGAUAAGGUUAUCCCUAAAAGCAAUUGCUUUAUUUUGAAAUCAAGUUGUAUUUGUCAAGUGCUGAAUUCAACAGGUGUAGGGUGUACUGUUAAAUGCUUACUUAAGAAAGGAAACGAUAACAAUAAAAUAACAACAACCAGGCUCUAUACAAGGAGUAACAGUACUGAGUUCAAUGUGUAGGGUACGUGGUAGUUGAGGUAAUAUUUAGGGGUAAAAAUGACUAGGCAAUAAGGAUAGAUCAUUAACAGAGUGGCAGCUGUGUGUGUGUGUGUGUGUGUGUGUGUGUGUGUGUGUGU
Molecule: long non-coding RNA, 1428 nt
Organism: Oncorhynchus tshawytscha (Chinook salmon)
Lineage: Eukaryota; Metazoa; Chordata; Actinopteri; Salmoniformes; Salmonidae
Source: Ensembl